Molecule: long non-coding RNA, 1873 nt
Filed under: Trifolium pratense (red clover)
Lineage: Eukaryota; Viridiplantae; Streptophyta; Magnoliopsida; Fabales; Fabaceae
Description: long non-coding RNA (TPRA_LNC012073)
Source: RNAcentral
CCAAAACUAAUAUUUAAAUAAAUCUAACCAUAGAAAAUUCUUUUCAAAAUACGCAGCGGAUAAUAAAAUUAAAACGACUCGAAGUCGUAGAUAAAAUAUAAAAUAACGGUUUUAGAUAUUAGAUACUUCAAAAACAUUGCUAAUUAGCAUAAGCCUCGCUUAAUAAAAAUUGUUUUCUAAAAUAAAAUACAUUUAAAAUAAAAUAAGAAUACAAGUACAAGACUCGAUAAACCAUUCCCCGUGUCAUAAUCAGAGCGGAGCUUCACCGACAACUCGACCACAAACUCAUAACUUGAGAAACCUGAACCCCCAACGGUUCAGCAAGUACACAAAACAGAGGGUUAGAUAAUAUAACCAUAAAUAGUGACUAAUAUAAGGUAUAUCAGAAACCUAAAUAAAGUCAAACAAAUGAAUAAAUUCAUCUCAUACAAUUAUUCAACAUGAUAAGCACAUACCAAUAUGUAUCAGACAACUCAGACAUAUAACAAAUAUGUUCAGACAAGUAUCAGAUAUAAAGGUAAACAUAACGAUGUCAAUUACCAUUCAUCAAGUAAGAAUAUCACAUAAUUCUUAAUGCAAUUAGAUGUAAUGUCCUCUAGGCAUAUCUAUAUGCAUGUGGUACCCAUCAUCAUAAUUUUGGAAAACUUAUUCCAAAUGUUUUAGAUCAUCGUCUCUAAAACAACAGUAAACUAGAUCAUCGUCUCUAGAAUACUUAUCAAUAGACACAACUUAUGAAUGCAUGAAUGUGCAUAUACCAAACAUAUGAUUUUAUCUCAACUAUAACAUCGACAUAAUAUGGAUAACAUAAUCCAAAUAUUCUAAAUCAUCGUCUUUAGAAUACAUCUACUCAUGAUAAAUCAUCAUUUAUCAUCAUCAAUAAUUCAACAUCAUAAAUCAUCACAUAAUCACACUAAUCUUCAAUAAGAUUUAUUCAUCAAUAAUUCAUCAAUAUAAUCAUAAUACAUCAUCAAUAAUCAACAUCAUGAUUAUCACCAUCUAUCAACAACCUAGCCAUCAUCAUUAAUCAACAACAUAUUCAUUCACAAGACACUAAAGUCACACACCAUUCAAGGGUUCAUCAAUUCCAAUUAAUUAAGCAUACGAAAGUUAAUUUAAACUAAAAUAAUGCCAAAAAUAUAAGCAACAUCAUCAUCCAAACAUAAUCUCAGAAAAUGGACACCGGAAUCGGAAUCUACGCGAAAAACUGGGCAAGAUGGGUUCCGGCUAAAUAAGUCGACAAAAGUCAACGAUUGGUCAACAGAACAGAGCUGCAGAUUAGCGUCGGCCAAGUGCUUCGCAAAUGCACUAUUCAUUCUGCAGAAUUCUGCAGGACACGUUUUGGCUUGAUUUUGGUCCAAAUAAGCACUUAUAAGCUGCUAAUAAUCACUUAAAACAGUCCAGAAUUCAUAUUUAAAUAUUACUACACUUAUAGCUUAUUUAAAACAACUUAAAUCAACAUAAAUUACUCAAACAUAAUCAUUUUUCAUGGAUUAUUCAUCAUUUUCAUGAAUUUAUCAACAACCUUCAAAUAAUCAACAACAACUUACAAAGUACUAAUUUUUAUCACAGCUUCUCAUUUCUAAAUCAUGAACAAAUAUGCAUAAUCACUUAUUAUAACAUAAAAAUUCAAAAUCUACACAUUCCCAAAAUCCCAUAACAUACCCAAAAAUGAAAAAGAGAUGAGAAGAGUUUGGGCUAGAGAAGAAUACUUCUCUCCUCUCCAUUAAUUCAUCUCAAAGAUUAUAAAACUACCCUCAUACCUUAGGUGAAGCUUGAAAAUUGAAGUUUGAGUGUUCUUGAGCUUGAUUCCCUCGUUUCCCUUUUCUUCCAUUCUUGGUUUCUAGAGCUUUUAUUUCUACCCCCACCAAAGUUG